AGACCAGCCACCGGGGACUCCAGAGAGGCCUCGGCCCAGCUCCCGGAAAGGGUCUCCCAGCCAGGCCUUCUAGCGGCCCAAAGCGGAUGGAAACUUGACCCAGAAUGGACAAGUGAUUCUCCAGGUCCAGGACUAAAACAUGGGCCUCUCAACAUCUCAGCAGGCAGGUGGAAGAGAUGGAGCAAACUCACUUGGAGCAAAGAUGGGCAGGAGGGGAACAGCGAAGCCCAGGCCAACGGCACCACAGGGCCCCUGGCAGAACAUGGACAGAGACAGUGUGAUUCCAGGGCUCUGUUCCCUUGCUGCUGCCUCCAUGGGCCCCGUACAUGUGCUCAUGAUUCUUAGACACAAACAAAGCUCCCAACACAGUGAUGGAAAUGCAGCUGCCAAGGGGGAUUGCCAAGGAAACCAUCUUUGAAAGGCUCAUUAUUCUUAUGAAGAAUCUGCAGGAGACAGGAGUUCUCAAAACAACUCUCGCUCCGCCUCUAUCCUCAACCGGACUCUGUGGGAGUGUCUCUUUUAGUAAUUAUCCUGUUCUUUGGUAAUUAUCUGCCUCUCCUGCUAGCCUGUGGGACUGUGUUUUCUUCAUCUUUGCAUCAUGAGUAUCUAGCACAGGGUCUGGCUCAUUGUAGUACCUGGCAGAUAUUGGUGGGAAAAACACAUGGCUGGUGUAGCUUCUUCUCUUUAUUCACUUUUAAUUUUUUUCUCUUUUAUCCAUUCACUGAACAAAUCUACUGAGACCCUGCUCUGUGUCAGGCCCUCACUGGGGACACAGAAGUGAAUGAGAGCCAAGCCCUGACUUGGGGGAAGGAGCUCCUAGAGUGAGGCAGGAGACAGACCUGUAAACACACACCACAAACAUGACGCCACCACCUGGGUACAGGCACCACCUCCAAGCUGGGCCCUAAGCCUUAUCGGCCUGUGUCUCUUCAAACCAGAGAGGCUCAAAGAUCUUAUUAGGGGCCAAGCUGUCACUUUGUUGGAGAAGUCUUCCCUCUCUAUUCCAUAAAAGCAAAACUCCAGAAGCCAAAUCAAAGGUGCCCAGGGCUGGAAGGAUAGACUGCUGGGCCAUGGGUCUCCUGAGCCUCUGCUGCAAUCUCCCUGGCAGGUGGCUGCCCAGCCGCUGCUCGCACUGCCUGGGGUGGGCUGCACAUGCCCGGUGAGGCAGCCUCCUCCUCAGUGGCCACUGGUUAGACCUGAGCAGAAGCUUGCAUUGCAGUCAGCUCCACUCCUUCCUAUCUCUGCACUGAUCCCUGUUUUGCACUCCAGGGCCACCCUUUUAGUGAAUGCCCUGCUGGCUGCCCCAGGACAGUCUUUCAGGUAUUUGAAGGGGGCAGCAACUGGGUCUGUAUCCCUGGCUUCUCCAAGUAACACAAGCCCCACAACAGUUCAGACUUGGUUCCCAGAGCCCUCACAUUCCAACUGCCCUCCUUACAAUGUGUCUCAGUUGGCUCUGUCCCUUGGACAGUGUAACUCCAGAACUAAAGGCCACAUUGUAGGUUGGUCUCCACACAGGACACACCUCCUCUGCCCUGGAGUCUAUACCUCCAAUGAUCAGCCCAAGCAGCUCUAGCUUUAUCAGUGCUGGCUGCCCAAACACCACCCCUCGCCAUCCACUUAGCAACCUCUACUCCGUAACUGAAGAAUCUUCCUCAGUGAAAAAACCUCUGAGCCUCUACUUCCUUUUUCUGUGUUCCCACAGUGCCCCCACCCCCACCCCCACCUUGGCAGCAGCCCUAUCAGAUCAGCUUCAAUAGUUUUGUAUCUGCCUCUCUAGACUGGGCACUUUCAGGCCAGGGACCAUGCCUGCUUCAUCUCUCUUUCCCUCUCUCCCUCCCCUCCUCUCCUCUCUCUCUUCCCUGCCUCUUGCCUCCUUCCGUACUUCCACAAACAUUUACUAAAUGCCUACUAUGUGCCAGGCCAUAGGGAUCACUAGCAUAGGGCUGGCACAUGGUAGGAGGCCUACUUUCUCAAUGAGGAGUUUUAAAAUAGCUCAUACAAGAUCAAAUUCUAACAACCGCAUUUACAUGACAUGAAAAUGUUUUCCUAUUUUUAACUUAGCACCUUUUUUGGCCCUCCAAAUGAUAACAUCUCUUUAAGGUUUCUGAGAUAACUUUACAUACAAGGCAUUUGAUUCUCACAACAAUGGUGUCAGCCAGGCAGACAGAAAGCCCUCUCCUCACCUUCCAGAAGCGAAAACGCGGUGCAGAAAGCUGAAGUAAGUUGCCCAAAGUCACACAGUGAGUUCGGGCAAAGUCAGGACCUUAAUGGAGGAGCUCUUUCCUCUCUAUAGUAUCCCUCCUUGUGGAAUAUACAGAUAUAGAGAUUCCAAAUUUGUCUGUAGAUGCCUGGACUGGGCUCGGCUUGAGAUGACUCUGACUGGCUCUGGCUGGAGCCAAUGACUUCUGCAGGUUCCAGCUCAGAGCUCCCAACUGCAUCUCCUUAGAGAGUUGCCCCUCUGGGCCCAGGCCCCCAACAACCUGGCUGGCUACUCCCACUGCACAGCUCCCCCUACCCACCAGGUUUACUUCCUAGCAUUCAGCCGACCCUGAAAAAGAAGACCUUAGCCCCAGAAAGCAGUGGCAUCCUGCCUAAGAGUGCCCAUCCACAUUCACACCUGGAAGCCCUACCUGUGCAGCUGCCAAUCAGUCUACCAGCCCAGGGCCACACUGAGUCCGCCAGAUGUGGCUCAUCACACAGAAACACCAGCUAGGACCACAGUUAGGAGAAAUGCUGCCUCCACAAGACUUAAUUCUGGGUCAGGGGUGGAGGGAGUGAACUGUGUAGAUCAAACUCAGCUUCUCUGACCUUCUUGUGACUCAUUUUCCAUAGACGAGAGUAUGGAGAGUCAUUGAACGUUUCAGAGCAAGCGAGGGACAGAGGAGGAGGCUGCUGUUUCAGGCGAUGCACAUCUCUGCAACAGGAAUCCUACAGAUAGUCCCAAGUGCUGGACAAGGAAUGGGUUUUAGGGUCACCCAAACCUGGGUUCACAUCCUGGCUCACCACUUACAAGUUGUGUGACUUUGUUCCUUAAUCACCGAGUUCUGAUUUGUUUAUCUGUAAAUGGGAGUGACACCUGCAGACUCUAACCUUACUGUGAGGAUUAAAUGAGACGAAGUGUGUAAAGGCCAAGUAAAGGUUCAUUCCCUCCCCCUAGGCUGUGGCAACUCUGCAUUUUACAAAAGUCGAAUCAAGAUCUGGGGCCAGCCCCUAGUUCAGGUCUUUCCCUGCCACUCUGGGUUCCCUCCAGGCAGACAUGUUCUUCUGAAAUACAGGGAAAUGGUUGCACUUAGGUGGGUAAGUGGCUAGGUGGUUAUGUUUUCUUUGUGGUUAUUUACCUAUUUAUUUUUGCCAAUGUUAAAUACUUUUUCUAGAUUUGGCCUGCUAGGGAGAACUAAAUAAAUUUCCAAUUGUAUGAGAAAUAUUUUUAAAGGCAUUCUCGAUUGUUUUAGCACCAAGAAGGCAAAGUCAAAGGCACAGCAGAUUGUCCCAGUGGGCUGCCAGGAAUCUAAUAAUUCUGCUAAUGACCCUUUUUAAAAUGUAAAGUGUUGGACUAAGGCAGCGCUCAAUUCUUGUCUAACACUAUGCUCCUGGGAACUUGCAAAUCAUCAUUGUCUUCCCCCAACCCCCAUCUAAAGCAAAGGAUCGGAUCUUGAGCAAUUAAUCAAAAUUGGUUUCCUGCAUCCAGAGGGGAUCACUCCAAAUGAAUGUGGAAUUGCAGAGAUGGAUCUGCACCAGCUGAUUUAUAGGGUGUGCUUAGAGAGCAGGGGCCAGAUGAAAGGCUGGGGGACGGGAAGAGGCAGCAAGAGCCAACACUAGAUGGCGUUAAUCUCAGGCCAUUGUGUGGCAGGAGUGGAUUCACCUUGUGUAGCUCCAGCUGCCAUACUGUUAGGGACCAGGGGCAGUAAUUAACUGGGAAGCUGUGGUCAGCAAAACUACCCAUAACAUGAGCUAUUGGCGAGGGCAUUGCACACUCCAGUUUGCAGAGGACUUUUGCAUGCCUCCCCAUGGGGCCCUCACCGCAGGCCUGGGAAUCAGGUAUCCCUUGCUUUCAGAGCUCUUGCCACCUGCUAUCCUGAACUCUGAAAACAAACAGGUCGAAAUAAAUAAAAUUAUCCCUUGCUGGCCAAAUUCUUGCUUCCUGAAUUGGGAACCAAAUAUAUUCGAAGAGUGAUCGAUAUUUGUAUUAUUGUUAUCUAUUGGAGGCUUAAAGAAAUUAAGAGACUCAGUUAAGGUCACACAGCUAGUAAAUAGUAGAGCUUGGAUUUAGAACCAGGCCUGUUGGUUAUAAUCCUUGCUUGGAAUUAGACAUGCCUGUGAAAUGUGUGGUGGUGGGGAGGGUCCUGUCACCCUAGAGUUAGGAGCCCUGAACUGAGCAGGGAGUGAGAUUGGCCAACCUCUUAGAUUACCCUGUAACCAAGGGCCCAUGAUUUUAUGCAAUCAAGACUGUUUAGAAAAAGUGGCUAUCUAAAGUACAGAGGUAUGCAGGCCUGAACAGAGGCCAGCCAGUAUAAAACCAGCCAUUGACUGCUCUCUGGUCUGCAGUUGCUGUGACCUCUCACAAAACUGCCCCUUUCAUGGGAGCAGAGACAGUUAAUAGUCAGAGAAGAGCCUUGUGGAAGCACCAUGGUGAAUGUGGAGGCAGACAGUGAAUCUCAUCAUUCAUUCACUCACUCAUUUUUCAUUCAAUGAGCACUUUAGAAGACACUGUCUAUGGUAGGCUUUGGGCCAGAAGCUAGGGCUACAAAGGUGAACAGAGAUCUGGCCCUUGCCCUGGGGGAGCACGGUCUGGUAAGGGGGAUACACACAUGAGCGGAUGACACAGUACAUGUGGCAAGUUCCAUCAUGAAGACACACAGGGAGCAGCUUACCCAGCUUGGGAGGUGCGGGAAAGGCUUCCUGGAGCUGUCCCCUGAGCAGAGUCUUGAAGGAUGAGUUAGCCAGGUGGAGAAGCAGGAGAAGGGCAUUCCAGGCAGGUGGACAGCAAGGGUAAAGGCAUGGAGGUGAGAAGCAGCAUGGUGCACCGAGGGAACAAGAAGCUUCUGCACCACGAGGAGCCCACGGAUGGUUUAAAGCACGGGGUGACGUGGUCAGAUUUGCAUAAAGAUCCCUCUAGCAGCUUAAACCAGUAGCAAGCAGUGGCAGUAACUUUUAAAGCUCAGCAUCUGAAGCUCUCUUGGCCCCAGAUAAGAGUUCUGGGGCCAUCUGUCGAGAUCACUAUAUACAAUGCCAGGUUAACAAGUAAUUGAGGCCCAUUACAUGAGGACAAGGGACAGAAAUUUAAGCUCAAUUCCACUGGCUGAAAUAAAAUGCUCAAAAUGGCAGUCUCAGAUCCAAUACUUAUAUACUGCAGAUAAUAAUGGAUACCAGUUUUAUCUUGGUACCUCCAGGACUGAGUAUAUUUUUUGUGAAUGAAGAAUCUGCUGGACAAUUCUGCAUUUAGUAACCUACAUUGCAGUCACCCAGGCAAGCUAGUACCAGAAGGAGAAAAACUGUGUAUUGGCUGUGAUAAUUGGUCAGUAUAGCCAGGACGUCUGAGCCAGAUGUAUAUAGAUCUGACCCCAUUCUUAUUUUCCCUCAGUUUGUAUCCGGGUCCCAAGAUUUAAAGAGGGUACUAGGCAAGCUUGCUGGAGGACCUGGAAUGGCCCAGCCAGAGUGUGGCACUGUGGGGUAUGGGCUUAGUUUUUAUUGGGGGGUCCCACUUGUCUGAAACCUGAUUCUUUUCAGGCCAGCUGAGCCUCCUUCAGGUGAGAGGGAUAGACAGCAGGCUAUGGAGCUGGAAGCCUGGAUUCCAGUGCUUUCUCCAUCUUCUAAGCCUGACCAAGCUGGCAGGUGUCCCCUCCUCUUUGAGCUUCCCUUUCUCCUCUGUUACAUGGGGCCAACACCUGCCCCAUAACAUUGGGAGGGUUCAGUGGAAUGGCACAGAAAGAAACGCUUCAUAAGCAACGCAUACAUAUAAAUUGUUAGAAUAUUACCAUUUAGGUCUGUGGACUCAAGGUAAUUCAAUAGCUGUAAUUCUUUAAAAGCAAUCUUCUUAAGAAUGUUUGCCUCAAUCAACUUCGUGUAUUACUAACAGCUAAGUAUAUAUCUGUCAGAAAGUGGACAAGUACUUUCAAGUACUCUAAAGGGAGGGGAAGGGCGUGAAGUGACAUGUUUAGUGUCCUCCAGGGGUUCCCUACAGCCCUCAUGUCAUUUCAUCCUCAUUCUGCUCCUCUGAGGGGGGGUAUUAGUGUCCCCAUUUUCAGAGGAGGACACUAAUGCUCCAGGAGGUUAGUGAGAGACACAGCGUUGCACGGCAGCACUGGUUUCCACUCACGAACUUUGUAAAUGCCUAAGUGCACUGUCCAUGUUAACCAGUAUUCAUAGGGUAAAUAACAAAAUACAUAAUGGUGUUAAUUCUAGUUCUCCCUGUUGUAGGAAUUCUAGGAUGGUCUAGGUGUUAUGAGGAUAUAUGCAUCAAAUGGCAGUGGGGUGGAAGUAGGGGUUGAAACACAUGCCCGGUUCUGUGAGAGUGGAGUUUGGGCUCCCUUUGUUUGAAACAGCUGUCUUUCCUGUUCCAGUGGCCUUGGCUGCCCUAGCCGCUUUCCUAACCCUGCUGGUCUCAGGUGGUGCUAGGGGUGAAGCCUUGCUUUAACGCAGAUGGUUCACAGGUUAUAUCCUGAAAGAAACUUCUGUACCUAUGGUCCUGAAAAUGUGAACUGCUUUGAGACAUUUUAGCAGUAAAAGGAGCCUUAAACCACAGUGACACACUAAAGGAGUCCAUAGCCUUUGUGAAAUGGGACUUGACGCUCCUCAAAUCUAUGAGAAGUGAGAAGCAGGUUGUAAAUUCUUAAACCCUAGUGAAACAAAAGAGGGAAGAAUUUCAUGAAGAACACAAAAACUCUAAGGAAGAAUUGAAAUACAUUUAUAGCUAACUUAGCAACAAUGACCUAUUUUGAAAAUAGGGGGCUGGUUUGAAUUUUGUUUGUUUGCUGUUUCAGGGAGGUAAUGUGAGUGAUGGGUUAUAGAUUUGCCUCCUGGGGCUCUGGGCAGCAGAGGGGAGCAUGGUGGGAACCACAGGCGGAAGAGCCCCUGGGGGAGCCCUGAGCACGUGGGCAGCACUGACAAAGCUGGCAAGGCCCCUGCCUUCCUGCCUUCUCCAUUGCCCAACGCUUGCCCUUUCUCUGACUCUGAGUGUGUCUCACCUUCUCGCACUCUCUUAGGUUACUCUAGGUGUCUUCAUAUGUGUGCUUUCCUGUGUCUUUUUCUCUCUGUGCCGCUAUUUCUACCUCUCUACUUCUCGCCUGUCUUUCUUACCACCUCUCUCAAUCCCCGUUUUGUCUCUCUCCCUUAACUCAUCAAAAGAGAGCUUAAUAAUAUGCUUUUAUGUAUUUGUUUUAUUUCUUGAGCAGCUUUUGUGUUUUCUGCCUCAUACAAAAGUAGACAGGUGGGUGGGAUGUUUUCUAUUCAUCUGGAAAACAAAUACAUACGGCUUUUCAUUUAUACCACCCUUGAAUGAUUUCUACCCCUGCCUCCCCCAAAACUCAGCAAUCAGGUCCAGCAAUAAAAGUCCACCCUAGGGCUCCUAGCUUAGAGCAAGAGAGGAUCUGUAGUGUUGCCUGACGCAUAAGCAAGCAAGAGAAGCAUGACAAGGGAGCAUGCAGGGUGUAGGUACGCUUUGGGCAUAUGGAAAUGGAGAUCCCAGUUAGCAACCGCCCACUCACGUGCACCAGGCCUCUCCACCACCGAGCUCUGUCACUCUCCAGCCUGUGCCAUGACCCUCCCAAGGGAGCUACCCCCCCAGAACUGAAGUUCACCUGGUGUUUGAUGGCCCCCCUCCGACCUUUGCUUGGGCAGACCCCUCUAUCUAGCAUGCCUUGGCCACCCCCGGCUCUGUUCACCUGGUCAACACCUACCCAUUGCUGAAGUCCUCCCUGAUCCAUGGAACCAGCUAGAAUGGCCUCCUCCUUCGUGCCCCACUGUGAUCAGAGGCGGGGUCUCAGUCAUCCUGGUUUCCCUAGUGCCCAGCACAGUGCCUGGCACAUAAUAGGUAUUCAAUCAACAUAUGUUGGAAAAAUGAAGAGUAUAAAAUCUUUUGUCUUCCACUUUACCAGAAGGAUAACAAAGUGGGCAAACUUGGUCCUAGCUUUCAGGUUCCCACCCAGCCCCCCAGUUUUCCAUUUCUAGACUUGCUCCCUGCAGUGGCCUUGCCCUUACAUAUCCACACCCCAGCUGCUUUCCAGGGCUCCCUCUGCCACAGAGCCUUCCGCAACUCCCCAGCCCUAGUUGGAAGAAGCCUGUCCUUCAUCUGAGUUCCCAACUACCUGAUCUGUUGUUGCUUGGUGGCCUGUCUGGUGGCUGUUUCAGCACCCCCACAUAAGGCACACACACGACUGUCACCCCCACAACCCACAGUGAGCCAGCCCCCUAUGGGUGGAACAUCCACAGUGACCAUAGAUUAACUGAGCAAGUGAAGGCAUCUCUGCCAUCCCUUGGGAGGAGAAAAAGCCAGAAAUGACAGUCCUGCCAGUCGACAGGAAGGAGGCAGAGAGUCAGAGCCCAGCCUCCCAGUGUGGCAAGGUGGUGCUCGGUGCAGGCGGUCGCUCUUCCCGGCAACAUUGGAUCAAAAUGUUACACUACCUUUUUGGCCAGUGCGUCUCCCGGUCCAUCUUCGCUUUCCCAAAACUUAGCUCUGACUGCUUGCCAAUAGUAUCUGAGAGGCAAUCUAAAAGAGUCAAGCUGCAUUAUGGAGAGCCCCAGGAAGACUGCAGGGCACAGCUCAUCUUGCAGAGAAUGGCUCAAAUGCAAAAGGUUCAUUCCUUCACCUACUCAGGUGGGCCUCACCAAGGAAAUAAGAUCAAGAAAGUGGUGUUCGUCUUUAGCAUUUAUUUAUAAUUGGAAAAACUGUUUGUUUGUUUGUUUUUCUGAGCAAGCACAGACCACAAGCACGUCACAAUCAAUUGGCUAUACAUGAAUAUUUUUGUCAUUCUCUUACAGCAGGAAUGAAAUAGCACCAAGAGAGGUGUGCGCUACAUGUUACAUAGACAAUCUGUGGUAUGCAACAAAACCCAGGCCACAAAAUCGUAAUUAGACACUUCCUGUCUGCCUCAGAGAGGCAAAGAAAGCUAUGUGGACCGAAUGGGAGCACAGACAGGACAGAUUGCUGAGGGAAGCCAAUGCGCAGCUCUUGGGGCUGCUUUUGCAGGCAGGGAAACAGCGGGAAAGCUUCAGUCCCAGCUCCCUCGCCAGGGAAGGACGGAGAACCACAGGGAAAUGUACAGAGGCCAGUGGGACGAGCUUUGGAAGCUUGGUCACCUUCAGGAAGGCAACACCCAAACACUGCUUGUGGAACCAAAAUCAGUUUCAUUCAGUACGUUUGGGAUAUAGAAUGAGACUGGCUGAGUUUUAUUUGUAAACAGUAGAAAUCAAAGGAAGUCUCUUGCCAGUAAAGUGACACAUUCAAGAGUCAAAGUGAACUACAAACAGGGUUUUCUCAGUGGGUGUGUUAAGCAGAAGGGGAUACUGACAGGUUGAAAAAGACAUGCUACAGGUCCUCUAAAGCCUUGGGUGAGGGUAGGAAGUUGGUCCCUGGGGCAGUGAGUGGGGGCGGGGGGUGGGGAAGCCUGUGGGACCCUUAUGUCAAACUGCGAUUUGGGCAACACCAACUUGACUUGGUCAUAGGGAUCAAGUCAUGUGCACCCUCUGGUUGUGUGGCUGUGGAGACAGAUUUCUUUAUACUGCCCACCACGCCUAGCACAGUGCCUGGCACACGGGCUUCUAGCAAGGGAAUGCUAAAUAAAUGAUCCCCUGUGCAUUGUAAACUCUGAUUUAUUUGAUCUGCAAAAAUAAAUGAUUAUUCUAUGGAGAAAUCCAAAUUGUGGCUAGCAUCAACAUGUCUGACUAAUGCCAAAUCUUGAGAGACUGAACAUACAUUGGCAAAUCCUCUGGAUACAAUUAAGAUCAUGUUGCUAGAGCUUUCUGCUAAAUGUUAAGAUUAGCUGGCAAAGAGUUGGAAUCAGUGCCAGGAUCCACUCUAGUCAUUUCCUGAUAGCUUUCAAAAUCUGUGACUCAUAAACACGGAGACCCACCAGCAUUUUCUACCUUCCUUCAUACUUCUCCUUCCUCACAGUUUUAAACCCUGAGAUAGAAAGGAAGGUCGCAGUGGGCCUGAUCAACAACUUCGUUUCUGAUAUUCCUGUUCUGUUAAUAAUUAUGGCUCAUGUAGCACACGCCGAAUUAAUUUACAAAAGACUUCUCACUCAGCCCCAAGGUGACAACCAAAAUGAUGUAAGCAGAGACUUUGCUGCCUGAAUGGUCGGAGUAAGAGAGAGUUCGUGGAGGCUCCACUUCCUCCAAACCAGAAGGACCUAAAGGGACUUUGAGGUAAGGAACUGUGAGACCCUCACUCUUCACCCCUUUCAUUGUAAAAGAAGAGCAAGCCUGCGCCGGGGCUUGACACCGGACGGCAGCCCAGUGUGUCAGAAUGCCGGGGACAAGAGGAUUUUAAGGACAGGAGAUACAGAGUGUGCUGAGCAAUAUACACGUCAUAUUGGCAAAUAUUAUUUUUCUGGUAACUAUUUUGAGUUCCCUCACAAGCACUGGGGUUUUUUUUUUCACAACAACUCCCUGACUAAUUCCUACAACACAACUCUAGCACAGCGAAGGUGGCACUUGCCACCCUUGGGGGCUUUGGCCACACACACACACGACACGGAAUAUACUGAGAGCUGCUUUUAUAUAUUAAUGAGGUCAAAGCUGCUUGCUAAUUAGUUAGCAGGGCAGUCUCCUAGUCUGCAGCUAAGUCACAGACAUUCUCCCUGACCUGAGGCCUGGCACCGCUGCCCUCUCUGAGGAGCAGACCAGAGCGGUUCAGGAAGGGAGAGUAAACAUCGCCACACUUGCCACUACAUCUACGCCCCCUUGGGUCUCAGAAAUGGAAAGUCAAAUUCCAAACACACUAUCCCUACACCUUGAACUUUCUUCCUCAGACAUCUCCAACCGGUCGCUCUGCGAAACCAGCAGCAUUGGACAGGUGGUCGGCCGAGGAGAAUCAGAGGAAAACAGCCUCCUCAUUUCUGUGAUCUUCCUAUGACAGCUGGAAUGUACCUAAAACACCUAACCUUCUUCACCAGCCC
This 11114-nucleotide long non-coding RNA is filed under the name Homo sapiens (human). RNAcentral describes it as "HSALNT0363823". Lineage: Eukaryota; Metazoa; Chordata; Mammalia; Primates; Hominidae. The record is from RNAcentral.